ACAAGCGGUGGAUGAUGUGGUUUAAUUCGAUGCAACGCGAAAACCUUACCACCUUUGACAUGUACGGAACCCUUUAGAGAUAGAGGGGUGCUCGAAAGAGAGCCGUAACACAGGUGCUGCAUGGCUGUCGUCAGCUCGUGUCGUGAGAUGUUGGGUUAAGUCCCGCAACGAGCGCAACCCUUGUCAUUAGUUGCUACAUUCAGUUGGGCACUCUAAUGAGACUGCCGGUGACAAGCCGGAGGAAGUGGGGAUGACGUCAAGUCCUCAUGGCCCUUAUAGGUGGGGCUACACACGUCAUACAAUGGCUGGUACAAAGGGUUGCCAACCCGCGAGGGGGAGCCAAUCCCAUAAAGCCAGUCGUAGUCCGGAUCGUAGUCUGCAACUCGACUGCGUGAAGUCGGAAUCGCUAGUAAUCGUGGAUCAGCAUGUCACCGGUGAAUACGGUUCCCGGGUUCUU
RNAcentral lists this ribosomal RNA (457 nucleotides) under uncultured Rhodoferax sp. Its description in RNAcentral is "bacterial SSU rRNA". It matches the Rfam family "Bacterial small subunit ribosomal RNA", at positions 925 to 1382 of the family's 1533-position model. The record is from RNAcentral. Lineage: Bacteria; Pseudomonadati; Pseudomonadota; Betaproteobacteria; Burkholderiales; Comamonadaceae.